This 159-nucleotide ribosomal RNA is filed under the name Triticum aestivum (bread wheat). Its description in RNAcentral is "partial small subunit ribosomal RNA". Lineage: Eukaryota; Viridiplantae; Streptophyta; Magnoliopsida; Poales; Poaceae. The record is from RNAcentral.
AUGGAUCCACAGCAGCCGGAACCCGUCAGCUAUCUGUGCGGAGAUUGCGGAGCUGAGAACACGCUGAAGACAGGGGAUGUGAUCCAGUGCCGUGAGUGUGGCUACCGCAUCCUCUACAAGAAGCGCACCCGCAGGAUUGUUCAAUACGAAGCUCGCUGA